AGCUUCCUCUCCACCAGGGAAGACUUCAAAGGCCACAGAUCAUUUUCAGAACCAAAGGUCAUCAUCUGAACAAAUGAGCCACCGUGGCUUGGCGAUCAGGGACUCCGACAGCUGUGGAUGAGGCACCAGCUCCACUACUUGUUAGCCUUGAUCAGACCGUCAGGGAUGGGAAGGACUGAUGCUCCAGGUGGCCAUCUGACCCCUGAUGGACAGGAGACCAGGACAAGCCCACUGGACGAGCCGGAGGGGUCCAGGAGGAGGGAGCUGAGAGCUUUUGCUAAGGUUGACACAUGCUGGUAAGGAGCUCAUCUGCUGUCCACCAGUGAAUAAACAUGGACAGCCCUGAGGAUAGAGAGGUGAAUAAAAACAACUCUUGCUCUCAAGAAGCUUAUGGUCCGGUGGAAGAAACAAAGAAGGAAACAAACACAGUAAAAGCUUUCUUAAACGAACCUAAAAACAGACCCAUCAGAUAAACCCCUCCUCUCCAUUCCUCUGGGUAAUCAGCUGACUGACGGCCAGGAUGUGCUGACCCUCAGAGCAGGUAGGCUGCCCUCUGGUAUCUGUGGCUCUUCUGCUCCCACUUGUUCAUUCCUAUGCUAAGUCAGCUGCGUUGUUCCAGAUGUGUUUAUGUCAGCUGCAUCUCUAAUUAUGAAAUCUUACCUUAUCAAAUCAUAGGCAAACCAAUGAAACAGGAGUGCCAAAAUAAAAAUUUCUAAUAAAUACUAAGUUUUGUUGCUGCUUACAAUAAAAUCCCUUGCUUAAGCACUGUUCCUCUCGGCGGAAGGUCCUCCCGCACCUCAUCUAUGACCUAACCAUCUUCAAAGCUGGCUUUUGUAAGAAGUGCUC
Long non-coding RNA from Saimiri boliviensis boliviensis (Bolivian squirrel monkey), 846 nucleotides. RefSeq lists it as uncharacterized. NCBI's taxonomy places the organism in Eukaryota, Metazoa, Chordata, Mammalia, Primates, Cebidae. The record is from RefSeq and is a predicted model, not a curated record.